This 613-nucleotide unclassified non-coding RNA is filed under the name Hevea brasiliensis (rubber tree). Lineage: Eukaryota; Viridiplantae; Streptophyta; Magnoliopsida; Malpighiales; Euphorbiaceae. The record is from RNAcentral.
GAGUGUUUGUGAAGGUCUCAUCCAUGAAGGGCAUCGAUGUAAGAAAAUAAAGGAAAGAGAUGCCCGAGAUUCAUGGAUCCUAAGCAUCAUUGAGUGUGCGUGUAGGUGCAAUUGUGUACCUUUAGACACUACCGCUAGAAUUUACAACUUUACACCUACUCUUUCAUGCAUCGUCUAUUAAGUGUAUACAUGGUCCCACGCACAUCAUAUUAGCAGCCUUUGGCCCAGCUAAGUCAGCAAAGUAGCACUUCAAAUAUGAACAUCAUCCCUCUUACAAAACCAAAACUUAGUAGCCUGUGUCCCAACCGUCUGCAAACUAGCACUUAAAACAAUAGUUCCAUUUGUGUCAGCAAAAGGUCAGCCCUUCAGUGCUAAAGAUCUAUCAGGUCCAACCAUCCAACAAUUUCACUAACAAAUAAGAGCCAUAACAAUUUUACAAUGUUGAGAUGGCACACUAACGAGAGAGGAAUGAUUCCAAGACUUAACUUUUCCACAAUUUAACUUGCAUAUAGUGUACCUUUUAAAGUGAACAGGUAAUGAAGUUGACCUUGUCUGAUACUCAUCCAGGAAAAAUGAAAAGGCUUGACCUGAUUUCCAGUAUCAUGAAUUUCUA